Molecule: RNase P RNA, 330 nt
Filed under: Clostridia bacterium
Lineage: Bacteria; Bacillati; Bacillota; Clostridia
Description: RNase P RNA component class A
Rfam family: Bacterial RNase P class A
About the family: Ribonuclease P (RNase P) is a ubiquitous endoribonuclease, found in archaea, bacteria and eukarya as well as chloroplasts and mitochondria. Its best characterised activity is the generation of mature 5'-ends of tRNAs by cleaving the 5'-leader elements of precursor-tRNAs.
Source: RNAcentral
UGAGUGGACUGAACAGUCGCGUGCGAUAACCGCAUGAGGAAAGUCCGAGCACCACAGGGCGGGGUAACGGCUAACGGCCGCCGGGGGUGACCCCAGGGAAAGUGCAACAGAGAUAUACCGCCGCAUUUGCGGUAAGGGUGGAAAGGCGAGGUAAGAGCUCACCGGCACACAGGAGACUGUGUGGCCAUGUAAACCCUAUCCGGUGCAACGCCGACUGAAGCGAUACAUUGGCCCGAUGUGCUUCGAAGGGCGGCUAGAGUCGUGUGGCAACACACGAUCGAGAUAGAUGACUGUUCACGACAGAACUCGGCUUACAGGUCCACUCACAUC